UACGUAGGGUGCGAGCGUUAAUCGGAAUUACUGGGCGUAAAGCGUGCGCAGGCGGUCUGUUAAGACCGAUGUGAAAUCCCCGGGCUUAACUCGGAACGGUCAACUGAUACUGCUCGGCUAGAGUGCGGAAGGGGCAACUGGAAUUCUUGGUGUAGCGGUGAAAUGCGUAGAUAUCAAGAGGAACACCUGCGGCGAAGGCGGGUUGCUGGGCCGACACUGACGCUGAUGCGCGAAAGCUAGGGGAGCGAACGGG
Molecule: ribosomal RNA, 253 nt
Filed under: uncultured bacterium
Lineage: Bacteria
Description: partial 16S ribosomal RNA
Rfam family: Bacterial small subunit ribosomal RNA
Source: RNAcentral